This is a long non-coding RNA of Raphanus sativus (radish), 1107 nucleotides long. RefSeq lists it as uncharacterized. The transcript has 6 exons. Lineage: Eukaryota; Viridiplantae; Streptophyta; Magnoliopsida; Brassicales; Brassicaceae. The record is from RefSeq and is a predicted model, not a curated record.
UCCUAAUUUUUCUAAGCCCAGAACCGUUUCAUGUUUUCUGCGAGACCUUUCAUCUUCCUUAUCUUCGUUCUUCCUCCUCACGAUCAAUCAAUCCUCUCCCCACACCUUAAUGCUCUUUAAUCAAUCCUGUUGCUGUAUAUUUCACUGACAUCUCCUCGGCCAGUCCUAUGGAGAUCUGCUCAGUCCUCAAAGCUUUGAGCGUCUGCUUAUCGGACGAACAGCAAUGGCAACACAAAGAAGAGGAGGAGCUUUUUUGAGAGUGCUAUUGAGGUACGAGAGAGAGCAAAGUGUGAAGGUGGAGAGAGAGAAGCUGCUAGGAUGUGUCUUCAAAGCGUUGUUUAGAUCAGGCAUACUGUGGUGACAAGGCUCUGGCAUUUUUAGGAGGCAAGGAAUGUGAAGAAAGGUGAGGAGCGUAUGGGUGUCGUUAUGGUGUUAAUUGAUGAUAAGGCUAUCCUAAUUCAUGGUUCUAUUAGCGUACAUAGUACUGAUUUUGUUGCACAAUUUCAGGUUCUCUGACUUCAUCCAUUGAUGUAUCUUGGUGGCAGGAGCUCUAUAAGCAGUUGAAAAGGAAUAACUUUCUUGAGUAUAGGCUCCUGAAAGUGCUCCCAGUGAAGAAGCAGCCAUAACAACAACACCACAGUGUUUCCAAGACAUUGUUGGACGCCUAUUCAACUGGAAUGAAGACCUCCACCACUCCGAUAUCGGAAAGAUUAAAUGACAUAUAUAGGAACCUAUGUCGGAUGAGUUGUUUAAGUGUUUAUCAAUACCUGGUUGUGAAUGUUUUCGUUGGUGCGGAUGGAUUCAACUUCUUCUUAUGAUCAGAAUGAUGAAAUGCUUGACGAUUAGAUUCAAGGAGAAGAAGCUUCAGAACUUUGUCUUGCUGGAAAGAGAAGAAAAAAAUUGAAAGAUCAAGCUCUGCUCUUCUACCAAAACCAAGGUAAUUAAUUGCUCAUAGAGCAAAGGUAUGGGAACUAUUUAUCCAAAAAAGAAGAUGAUCCUUUGCAAUGCAAUUGUUAAUUCUGUGAAUUUUCAGAAGCUGAAAGUAGCACUUGAAACAUGUACGUGUUCUCCACGUGAAUAACUGAAUGUAUUUUGGUUCCUUUUGUA